RNAcentral lists this ribosomal RNA (253 nucleotides) under uncultured bacterium. RNAcentral describes it as "partial 16S ribosomal RNA". It matches the Rfam family "Bacterial small subunit ribosomal RNA", at positions 524 to 776 of the family's 1533-position model. The record is from RNAcentral.
UACAGAGGGUGCGAACGUUGCUCGGAAUUACUGGGCGUAAAGCGCAUGUAGGCGGAUCCAUAAGUCGGGCGUGAAAUCCCCAGGCUCAACCUGGGAACUGCGCUCGAAACUGUGGGUCUCGAGUGUCGGAGAGGAUGGCGGAAUUCCUGGUGUAGAGGUGAAAUUCGUAGAUAUCAGGAGGGACACCGGUGGCGAAGGCGGCUCACUGGCCCGAUACUGACGCUGAGGUGCGAAAGCGUGGGGAGCAAACAGG